This is a non-coding RNA of Oryza glumipatula, 181 nucleotides long. Lineage: Eukaryota; Viridiplantae; Streptophyta; Magnoliopsida; Poales; Poaceae. The record is from Rfam.
CCGCAGCGCUGCCACAGAUAGGACGCCAUAACUUUGAUCAUCCGUCUUAUUUAAAUAAAUUUUAUGAGAUAAUAAAAUAUAAAUAGUAUUUUACUCGUGACUUAUGUUUUUAAAUUUUUUAAAAAAAUUUAAAUAAGACGAACGGUGAAAGUUGAACGCGAAAACUAUGGUUGCAAUUAAA